This 2875-nucleotide ribosomal RNA is filed under the name Vibrio cholerae H1. RNAcentral's name for it is "bacterial LSU rRNA". It matches the Rfam family "Bacterial large subunit ribosomal RNA". Lineage: Bacteria; Pseudomonadati; Pseudomonadota; Gammaproteobacteria; Vibrionales; Vibrionaceae. The record is from RNAcentral.
ACUAAGCGUACACGGUGGAUGCCUGGGCAGUCAGAGGCGAUGAAGGACGUACUAACUUGCGAUAAGCGCAGAUAAGGCAGUAAGAGCCGUUUGAGUCUGCGAUUUCCGAAUGGGGAAACCCAACUGCAUAAGCAGUUACUGUUAACUGAAUACAUAGGUUAACAGAGCAAACCGGGGGAACUGAAACAUCUAAGUACCCCGAGGAGAAGAAAUCAACCGAGAUUCCGGUAGUAGCGGCGAGCGAACCUGGAUUAGCCCUUAAGCACUCGGUGAAGUAGGUGAACAAGCUGGAAAGCUUGGCGAUACAGGGUGAUAGCCCCGUAACCGACGCUUCAUCGAGCGUGAAAUCGAGUAGGACGGGACACGUGAUAUCCUGUCUGAAUAUGGGGGACCAUCCUCCAAGGCUAAAUACUCCUGACUGACCGAUAGUGAACCAGUACCGUGAGGGAAAGGCGAAAAGAACCCCUGUGAGGGGAGUGAAAUAGAACCUGAAACCGUGUACGUACAAGCAGUAGGAGCACCUUCGUGGUGUGACUGCGUACCUUUUGUAUAAUGGGUCAGCGACUUAUAUUCAGUGGCAAGGUUAACCGUAUAGGGGAGCCGUAGCGAAAGCGAGUCUUAACUGGGCGCUCAGUCUCUGGAUAUAGACCCGAAACCGGGUGAUCUAGCCAUGGGCAGGUUGAAGGUUGAGUAACAUCAACUGGAGGACCGAACCGACUAAUGUUGAAAAAUUAGCGGAUGACUUGUGGCUAGGGGUGAAAGGCCAAUCAAACUCGGAGAUAGCUGGUUCUCCCCGAAAGCUAUUUAGGUAGCGCCUCGGACGAAUACUACUGGGGGUAGAGCACUGUUAAGGCUAGGGGGUCAUCCCGACUUACCAACCCUUUGCAAACUCCGAAUACCAGUAAGUACUAUCCGGGAGACACACGGCGGGUGCUAACGUCCGUCGUGGAGAGGGAAACAACCCAGACCGCCAGCUAAGGUCCCAAAGUAUUGCUAAGUGGGAAACGAUGUGGGAAGGCUCAGACAGCUAGGAUGUUGGCUUAGAAGCAGCCAUCAUUUAAAGAAAGCGUAAUAGCUCACUAGUCGAGUCGGCCUGCGCGGAAGAUGUAACGGGGCUAAGCAAUACACCGAAGCUGCGGCAAUGUCUUUUAGACAUUGGGUAGGGGAGCGUUCUGUAAGCCGUUGAAGGUGAAUCGUAAGGUUUGCUGGAGGUAUCAGAAGUGCGAAUGCUGACAUGAGUAACGACAAAGGGGGUGAAAAACCUCCUCGCCGGAAGACCAAGGGUUCCUGUCCAACGUUAAUCGGGGCAGGGUGAGUCGACCCCUAAGGUGAGGCCGAAAGGCGUAAUCGAUGGGAAACGGGUUAAUAUUCCCGUACUUCUGACUAUUGCGAUGGGGGGACGGAGAAGGCUAGGUGGGCCAGGCGACGGUUGUCCUGGUUCAAGUGCGUAGGCUUGAGAGUUAGGUAAAUCCGGCUCUCUCUAAGGCUGAGACACGACGUCGAGCUACUACGGUAGUGAAGUCAUUGAUGCCAUGCUUCCAGGAAAAGCCUCUAAGCUUCAGAUAGUCAGGAAUCGUACCCCAAACCGACACAGGUGGUCGGGUAGAGAAUACCAAGGCGCUUGAGAGAACUCGGGUGAAGGAACUAGGCAAAAUGGUACCGUAACUUCGGGAGAAGGUACGCUCUUGAUGGUGAAGUCCCUCGCGGAUGGAGCUGACGAGAGUCGCAGAUACCAGGUGGCUGCAACUGUUUAUUAAAAACACAGCACUGUGCAAAAUCGCAAGAUGACGUAUACGGUGUGACGCCUGCCCGGUGCCGGAAGGUUAAUUGAUGGGGUUAGCGCAAGCGAAGCUCUUGAUCGAAGCCCCGGUAAACGGCGGCCGUAACUAUAACGGUCCUAAGGUAGCGAAAUUCCUUGUCGGGUAAGUUCCGACCUGCACGAAUGGCGUAAUGAUGGCCACGCUGUCUCCACCCGAGACUCAGUGAAAUUGAAAUCGCUGUGAAGAUGCAGUGUACCCGCGGCUAGACGGAAAGACCCCGUGAACCUUUACUACAGCUUGGCACUGAACAUUGAACCUACAUGUGUAGGAUAGGUGGGAGGCUAUGAAGACGUGACGCCAGUUGCGUUGGAGCCGUCCUUGAAAUACCACCCUUGUAUGUUUGAUGUUCUAACUUAGACCCAUUAUCUGGGUUGAGGACAGUGCCUGGUGGGUAGUUUGACUGGGGCGGUCUCCUCCCAAAGAGUAACGGAGGAGCACGAAGGUGGGCUAAUCACGGUUGGACAUCGUGAGGUUAGUGCAAUGGCAUAAGCCCGCUUAACUGCGAGAAUGACGGUUCGAGCAGGUGCGAAAGCAGGUCAUAGUGAUCCGGUGGUUCUGUAUGGAAGGGCCAUCGCUCAACGGAUAAAAGGUACUCCGGGGAUAACAGGCUGAUACCGCCCAAGAGUUCAUAUCGACGGCGGUGUUUGGCACCUCGAUGUCGGCUCAUCACAUCCUGGGGCUGAAGUCGGUCCCAAGGGUAUGGCUGUUCGCCAUUUAAAGUGGUACGCGAGCUGGGUUUAGAACGUCGUGAGACAGUUCGGUCCCUAUCUGCCGUGGGCGUUGGAAGAUUGAAGGGGGCUGCUCCUAGUACGAGAGGACCGGAGUGGACGAACCUCUGGUGUUCGGGUUGUGUCGCCAGACGCAUUGCCCGGUAGCUAAGUUCGGAAUUGAUAAGCGCUGAAAGCAUCUAAGCGCGAAGCGAGCCCUGAGAUGAGUCUUCCCUGACAGUUUAACUGUCCUAAAGGGUUGUUCGAGACUAGAACGUUGAUAGGCAGGGUGUGUAAGCGUUGUGAGGCGUUGAGCUAACCUGUACUAAUUGCCCGUGAGGCUUAACC